GUGACUGCGUACCUUUUGUAUAAUGGGUCAGCGACUUAUAUUCUGUAGCAAGGUUAACCGAAUAGGGGAGCCGGAGGGAAACCGAGUCUUAAUUGGGCGUUAAGUUGCAGGGUAUAGACCCGAAACCCGGUGAUCUAGCCAUGGGCAGGUUGAAGGUUGGGUAACACUAACUGGAGGACCGAACCGACUAAUGUUGAAAAAUUAGCGGAUGACCUGUGGCUGGGGGUGAAAGGCCAAUCAAACCGGGAGAUAGCUGGUUCUCCCCGAAAGCUAUUUAGGUAGCGCCUCGUGAAUUCAUCUCCGGGGGUAGAGCACUGUUUCGGCUAGGGGGCCAUCCCGGCUUACCAACCCGAUGCAAACUGCGAAUACCGGAGAAUGUUAUCACGGGAGACACACGGCGGGUGCUAACGUCCGUCGUGAAGAGGGAAACAACCCAGACCGCCAGCUAAGGUCCCAAAGUCAUGGUUAAGUGGGAAACGAUGUGGGAAGGCCCAGACAGCCAGGAUGUUGGCUUAGAAGCAGCCAUCAUUUAAAGAAAGCGUAAUAGCUCACUGGUCGAGUCGGCCUGCGCGGAAGAUGUAACGGGGCUAAACCAUGCACCGAAGCUGCGGCAGCGACGCUGAUGCGUUGUUGGGUAGGGGAGCGUUCUGUAAGCCUGCGAAGGUGGCCUGUGAGGGUUGCUGGAGGUAUCAGAAGUGCGAAUGCUGACAUAAGUAACGAUAAAGCGGGUGAAAAGCCCGCUCGCCGGAAGACCAAGGGUUCCUGUCCAACGUUAAUCGGGGCAGGGUGAGUCGACCCCUAAGGCGAGGCCGAAAGGCGUAGUCGAUGGGAAACGGGUUAAUAUUCCCGUACUUGGUGUUACUGCGAAGGGGGGACGGAGAAGGCUAUGUUGGCCGGGCGACGGUUGUCCCGGUUUAAGCGUGUAGGUGUGUGUUCCAGGUAAAUCCGGUUCACUUUAACACUGAGGCGUGAUGACGAGGCACUACGGUGCUGAAGCAACAAAUGCCCUGCUUCCAGGAAAAGCCUCUAAGCAUCAGGUAACAUCAAAUCGUACCCCAAACCGACACAGGUGGUCAGGUAGAGAAUACCAAGGCGCUUGAGAGAACUCGGGUGAAGGAACUAGGCAAAAUGGUGCCGUAACUUCGGGAGAAGGCACGCUGACACGUAGGUGAAGUGAUUUACUCAUGGAGCUGAAGUCAGUCGAAGAUACCAGCUGGCUGCAACUGUUUAUUAAAAACACAGCACUGUGCAAACACGAAAGUGGACGUAUACGGUGUGACGCCUGCCCGGUGCCGGAAGGUUAAUUGAUGGGGUCAGCGCAAGCGAAGCUCCUGAUCGAAGCCCCGGUAAACGGCGGCCGUAACUAUAACGGUCCUAAGGUAGCGAAAUUCCUUGUCGGGUAAGUUCCGACCUGCACGAAUGGCGUAAUGAUGGCCAGGCUGUCUCCACCCGAGACUCAGUGAAAUUGAACUCGCUGUGAAGAUGCAGUGUACCCGCGGCAAGACGGAAAGACCCCGUGAACCUUUACUAUAGCUUGACACUGAACAUUGAGCCUUGAUGUGUAGGAUAGGUGGGAGGCUUUGAAGUGUGGACGCCAGUCUGCAUGGAGCCGACCUUGAAAUACCACCCUUUAAUGUUUGAUGUUCUAACGUGGACCCGUGAUCCGGGUUGCGGACAGUGUCUGGUGGGUAGUUUGACUGGGGCGGUCUCCUCCUAAAGAGUAACGGAGGAGCACGAAGGUUGGCUAAUCCUGGUCGGACAUCAGGAGGUUAGUGCAAUGGCAUAAGCCAGCUUGACUGCGAGCGUGACGGCGCGAGCAGGUGCGAAAGCAGGUCAUAGUGAUCCGGUGGUUCUGAAUGGAAGGGCCAUCGCUCAACGGAUAAAAGGUACUCCGGGGAUAACAGGCUGAUACCGCCCAAGAGUUCAUAUCGACGGCGGUGUUUGGCACCUCGAUGUCGGCUCAUCACAUCCUGGGGCUGAAGUAGGUCCCAAGGGUAUGGCUGUUCGCCAUUUAAAGUGGUACGCGAGCUGGGUUUAGAACGUCGUGAGACAGUUCGGUCCCUAUCUGCCGUGGGCGCUGGAGAACUGAGGGGGGCUGCUCCUAGUACGAGAGGACCGGAGUGGACGCAUCACUGGUGUUCGGGUUGUCAUGCCAAUGGCACUGCCCGGUAGCUAAAUGCGGAAGAGAUAAGUGCUGAAAGCAUCUAAGCACGAAACUUGCCCCGAGAUGAGUUCUCCCUGAGACUU
Molecule: ribosomal RNA, 2247 nt
Filed under: Salmonella enterica
Lineage: Bacteria; Pseudomonadati; Pseudomonadota; Gammaproteobacteria; Enterobacterales; Enterobacteriaceae
Also listed under: 2 other names
Description: bacterial LSU rRNA
Rfam family: Bacterial large subunit ribosomal RNA
Source: RNAcentral